UGCGGUGAUGAUUGUUUUAAUAUUUGCUACUACGGAGGGUCCUUUGGGGUCUCGGUGAGAACAUUUUAAACCACCAAGAUCGCUGAGCGCA
Molecule: small nucleolar RNA, 91 nt
Filed under: Tilletiaria anomala UBC 951
Lineage: Eukaryota; Fungi; Basidiomycota; Exobasidiomycetes; Georgefischeriales; Tilletiariaceae
Description: Small nucleolar RNA SNORD24
Rfam family: Small nucleolar RNA SNORD24
About the family: U24 is a member of the C/D class of snoRNA which contain the C (UGAUGA) and D (CUGA) box motifs. C/D box snoRNAs have been shown to act as methylation guides for a number of RNA targets. U24 is encoded within an intron of the gene for ribosomal protein L7a in mammals, chicken and Fugu.
Source: Rfam by way of RNAcentral